Molecule: ribosomal RNA, 330 nt
Filed under: uncultured bacterium
Lineage: Bacteria
Description: bacterial SSU rRNA
Rfam family: Bacterial small subunit ribosomal RNA
Source: RNAcentral
UGUGUAGGCGGUCCCUUAAGUUUGGUGUGAAAUCUCCCGGCUCAACCGGGAGGGUGCGCCGAAUACUGAGGGGCUAGAGUGCGGGAGAGGAGAGUGGAAUUCCUGGUGUAGCGGUGAAAUGCGUAGAUAUCAGGAGGAACACCGGUGGUGCAAACGGCUCUCUGGACCGUAACUGACGCUGAAACACGAAAGCGUGGGUAGCAAACAGGAUUAGAUACCCUGGUAGUCCACGCCCUAAACGAUGCAUAUUUGGUGUGGGUCAUUCAGUUGAUCCGUGCCGGAGCUAACGCGUUAAAUAUGCCGCCUGGGGAGUACAGUCGCAAGGCUGAA